UAGGGAAUCUUCCGCAAUGGACGAAAGUCUGACGGAGCGACGCCGCGUGAGCGAAGAAGGUCUUCGGAUCGUAAAGCUCUGUUGUUAGGGAAGAAGAAGUGCCGUUCGAACAGGGCGGCACGGUGACGGUACCUAACGAGAAAGCCCCGGCUAACUACGUGCCAGCAGCCGCGGUAAUACGUAGGGGGCGAGCGUUUUCCGGAAUUAUUGGGCGUAAAGCGCGCGCAGGCGGUCCCUUAAGUCUGAUGUGAAAGCCCACGGCUUAACCGUGGAGGGUCAUUGGAAACUGGGGGACUUGAGUGCAGAAGAGGAGAGCGGAAUUCCACGUGUAGCGGUGAAAUGCGUAGAGAUGUGGAGGAACACCAGUGGCGAAGGCGGCUCUCUGGUCUGUAACUGACGCUGAGGCGCGAAAGCGUGGGGAGCAAACAGG
RNAcentral lists this ribosomal RNA (430 nucleotides) under bacterium. RNAcentral's name for it is "partial 16S ribosomal RNA". It matches the Rfam family "Bacterial small subunit ribosomal RNA", at positions 355 to 776 of the family's 1533-position model. The record is from RNAcentral.